GUAGCGGCGAGCGAAGCGGGAAAAGCUCAAAUUUGUAAUCUGGCGUCUUCGACGUCCGAGUUGUAAUCUCGAGAAGUGUUUUCCGUGAUAGACCGCAUACAAGUCUCUUGGAACAGAGCGUCAUAGUGGUGAGAACCCAGUACACGAUGCGGAUGCCUAUUACUUUGUGAUACACUUUCGAAGAGUCGAGUUGUUUGGGAAUGCAGCUCAAAUUGGGUGGUAAAUUCCAUCUAAAGCUAAAUAUUGGCGAGAGACCGAUAGCGAACAAGUACCGUGAGGGAAAGAUGAAAAGCACUUUGGAAAGAGAGUUAACAGUACGUGAAAUUGUUGGAAGGGAAACACAUGCAGUGAUACUUGCUAUUCGGGGCAACUCGAUUGGCAGGCCCGCAUCAGUUUUUCGGGGCGGAAAAGCAUAGAGAGAAGGUAGCAGUUUCGGCUGUGUUAUAGCUCUUUAUUGGAUUCGCCCUGGGGGACUGAGGAACGCAGCGUGCUUUUUGCAUGAGCUUCGGCUUAUCCACGCUUAGGAUGCGGGUUU
RNAcentral lists this ribosomal RNA (535 nucleotides) under Sporobolomyces pararoseus. RNAcentral describes it as "eukaryotic LSU rRNA". It matches the Rfam family "Eukaryotic large subunit ribosomal RNA", at positions 83 to 632 of the family's 3401-position model. The record is from RNAcentral. Lineage: Eukaryota; Fungi; Basidiomycota; Microbotryomycetes; Sporidiobolales; Sporidiobolaceae.